This 3556-nucleotide long non-coding RNA is filed under the name Triticum aestivum (bread wheat). Its description in RNAcentral is "long non-coding RNA (TAES_LNC004300)". Lineage: Eukaryota; Viridiplantae; Streptophyta; Magnoliopsida; Poales; Poaceae. The record is from RNAcentral.
UAUAUCAAAUAUGUUAAAAUCCAGUAAAUAAUGCUAGUAAAGUAUAUACAAAUUUGCACUUCCAAUACACUGAACAAAAAAUGUACAUACAUCAGCAUUCACUACUCCUUUCAACAAUGCUAGAACAUGAUCACUUGUUUGUCUUUCAGCAGACAAUCUUUGACCACUGGCAACCGGGGAGCUGCUGGAGAUCGCUCCUCAGCUAGCUUAGCUGUUUGUUCAUCUAAAAAAGAAAAAGGGUUACCUUUCCAUUAAUUUUAGUCUUGUAGUUACAGCCCCUCAAGUAUUUGGUCACCUAUAUGUACUCUGUUUUCCAGUACCUUGUUUCAUAAUUAUCCUAUGUAUUUUCUUGAAGAGUGCAGGCUUAUUCUACACCAAUUCCCCUCCAUCCUCGAGUUACCUGGCCACCGUAGCUCCUCUCCUCUCUCUUGCCGCUCCAUGUGCUAGCUUUGAAAAUGCCAAAUUAUAUUGUGUCGCAUUGUUAUGUACGUAGUUAUGAUCAAUAACACAAAUACCUAAAAGCAAAGAAGAAAACCAAAGUGAAAUUGCUGGGAAAAUGUCAACAAAUCACAUACUGCUAGAUGAACCAUAAGAAUAUGAGUACCCCAUUAUGUCUCAAAUCAUCAUAAUACAGUGAUAGGUGAUGUAUAGGGAGAUAAAAGACAUUGGCAAUAAUUAAUAAUACUUACUGGUUAAAGAAAGAAAUUGGUCAUCUAAAAUUAUGAAUAUGAAGAUAAUGAACCCAUGAAGAUACUAACGAUUAGAAUUAUCCUUCCUUUCAAUCUCCAUCUUUAACAAACAGGAUAACCCAAAAUGAAUAGGCGAUACUUUUAACAAAAAUCUAAAAAAAAUUAAGGAUAAGCUAUAGAAUAUGUUACCAUUAAGGUAGAUGUUAAUUGCAAGAACAACUUUUAGAUCAAUGCUACACUUUUGUCAUGCAUCACGUUAACAUGUGCCGCAACUUGUGGAGGAUAACAUGUGCUCAUUAUUCAUGUGCAUCCAGAUCUCCAAGUAUUAACACAAGAAAUUAUUCAGUUGUAACACACUUUAGCCAUGCCCGAAAUAUGAUUAGUGGAAUGCUCUGCUCGGUAAAUUAUUACCCAGCGCAUAUUGUUUCACCAAUUUUGAACAAAUGGACUGGAUCGCUUAUCAAGUAUUUUCAAGCGAUGAAACUAAUAUCACAUGUGGAAAAAUGCUUUUCAGGCUUUCCUCUUACGAUACUAUAGAAACUUGGUUCUCUCACAUGUACAUAUGAACCUACUUAUGAUAAUGUUGAUCCCAGCCACGUAUGGAAACACUGAUUGAGAUUUACUCAAUAGGAUAGCUAAAACCUGACAGUAGUGAUUUUUUAAAUGUUAGUAGUAAUCCAGACCAAAAGAACAAGGUAAGCGAGUGAAAGAGUCAACUUACCUUUAACAAAAUUUUGUCAUAUGCCAAAAAAGUUUCAUCCCUGAAUGUUUAAUGAAGAGAUGCUUCUGGCACUUUUGGUUCCUCCAUAUCACGCUGCAAUGAACAUGUCCCAUUGGAAAAAUUAGAUAUAUAAAAAAAUUAAAAUGGCAGCAAUUACUAUUCAAUAGUGAACAAUCAGGCUAUUAGAACAUACCUAUAUACAGUUGUGUAGCACCAUAACAUCUUAAAUUGGGAUAAAGACAGCCAAAGUUCACCAUUAAUAUACAAUCAGGCUUCUGAACAAUAACUGCCAGCAGCCCAACAGUACUAAUCAAAUGAAAUAAGAUAAAUUCAGUUACUUCAGAAUAGUAGAACCUGGCCAAUGGUUGGCCGUAUGAAGAAAAAAUAAGGAUGGAGAUGUUUAUGUGAAGAAGAACUGAAGUCAUAUCAUCUCCUGCUGCACAACCAACUACUGGCCAAUGGUUGGCCGUAUGAACAUACAAGUACCAAAAUGACAUGGACUGUAAUAGUCUUGAACCUAUAUAGACACGGGUUAUUCUAGAAAUAUAUCUGGAACAGGUUGUACGUGCGGCGUCAAUACUAUGGCUGAAUCAAACGAUCAAUUAACCCUAAUACAUACUACGAGCACCCACAUAUACAAAACAUGCAAUCAGAAGAAAGAAGAGUACAUCGAGCAGCUUGAAAGGGUUUCGCAUGGUGGCGAAGCUUCACAGGCAGGCAGGCAGGCAACAGUGCGGACGAACAUCUCGCUCGCAACCUAUGGAUUUGGCUUCUUAAUGGCAUGGCUAAGUAUGCCAGUGCCUCAGACUUCGAGAUGUAGAGUUCUAGAAAAAAAGCAGAUUUGAGGAUCUGGGUUAGCAAAUUUACUACCAAAUGAUUAAUACCAUAGCACCAUGAAGACGGAAGCAUGUCUGCUAGUUUUAGCUAUUAUAUCAUAUUAGGUGGAUUAACAUUACAUUGCUAAGAUUAUUAAAUUAGCAGUGCACCCAUGAUAUGCUCUCAAACAAAAUACAAGCGUUCACUAAAAGAAGCAUAGCAAACAUUAGUCUGUAAGUAAAUGAUUUAAAAAAAAUAUUCCUCAACCAGCCAUGCCUCACUCUAGUGCUGCCACCGCCCUCGUUCACCGUAUAAUCUACGGCCCAGGUCGUUCUGCCCGUGUAAGAGACGUGAGACAUAGGACACAUGAGGAAUGGAAGUAAGAAUCGAUAUGAGGUCAGAAAAUCUUUUAUCUGUAUCUUCAAUGAGGCAAAUCCCCCUUCUGAAUUGACAACAAUUAUCAAACCUUGCAAUGCAUGAUGGGUUCGAUGACAGAUUUAGUGUAUGAGAUAGAACCUCUGCCAAUCUUGUUAACUUGGGUCAUUAUUCAGUAGUCAACAUCUUAGAAAAGGAUGAGAGGUGUGGUAGACAUGGUGGAGGAAUCUUAACAUAUAUAGCACUUCCCAGAAAAGAAGAUAUUAGCACCAUAGUUGAAAUGUGUCUAUAAAAAGGAGUCCUAUUGUGCUUCGAAAAGGGAGUCUGAUUUCAGAGUAAUCCAAGUUAUUCAAGUGAUUAACAAUGAAACAAACUCUGCAAUUUGAGUAUUUCCUAAAUAAAGUGAUAUAUACACGCACCAAAUAUUUGUGAAGUUAGAGAGAACUAUCGAUUUGAGGUAUGUAUGACUCAAGAAGGGAAACCUCUACAUUGAGUACUCAAAGCUAACGAAAGGAAGCCACAUGAUCAGGUAUUUGAGGCAUGCAAUGUAGAACCUUAGCCGGGAUAAACUGCAAUUGGUCAAACAUGCACUCACAUAACCUGGAACGCUCUGAAACAGAAGUUUAAUCUAGCAGCCAGCAACCGCGUACGCGAGGAAAUACCUGCCUGAUUGUACAUAUAUGGAAAGGUGUUGAGCAAGAUGCACGGCUAGUUCAUGAGAUAGACUUUGCGCCCUUCGGGUCCAGCAUGGUGAAGUGGAUCACACCUCCUGUAUCCACCACGAAAUCGAUCUAUGGCAUGUACUCCUUCAUUCUUCUGGACCUAGCUAGAGAACCUGACACCGUUGAUGUAGCUUGCCGAUCCAAGACCAAACACGUAGAAUGGCCGGUUUGCCCAAAUAUGUUACGUUGUGCUUGCACUCGUGUACUUGUCCGGCAACGCCCGAGGAUUCUUC